This 1246-nucleotide long non-coding RNA is filed under the name Monodelphis domestica (gray short-tailed opossum). Its description in RNAcentral is "lncRNA (ENSMODG00000041292.1)". Lineage: Eukaryota; Metazoa; Chordata; Mammalia; Didelphimorphia; Didelphidae. The record is from RNAcentral.
ACAAAGGAUCAGCCUGGAAGCUCCUGGGUCAUUGCUCCUACUUUCCAUGGAAAAAGAUUUCCCUAUCCACAUGUGCUGCUCAGUCAGUCUUCUGCUCUUCCAUUACUUCCUUUCCCAAGUUUCCCUUCUCUUUUCUUUAAACUUAAUCCAGUUGAAAAAUUCAGAUAGUUUGGCAAGGUGAAAAGAAUGAUGAACUUAGAUUCAGAAAGACAGGUUCUGAGACUUUGUUUAGAGGCAUCUGUGGCGCACCUUCCCUUACUUUGAGGACACUGGGUACUCCAAAGUGAUUAGUUAACUGAAAAACAAAAGAUCAAAUUGACUUUUUUUCUCUCUCUCUCUGUCUCUGUCUCCCUGUCUCUCAUUUUGUUUCUCUCUUUUUUCUUUCUCUCUUUGUUCUUCUCUUUCUCUUUUUUCUUUCUCUUUUCUUUCUUUCUCUUUCUCCCUCUCCCUCUUUCUAUCUGUCUCUUUUUUCUCUUUUUCUAUCUCUCUUUUAUCUUUCUUUUUCUUUUUUCCUCUCUGCCUCUUUUUCUUUCUCUUUCUGUCUUUCUAGCUCUCUUUUUCUCUUUUUUCUUUCUCUCUUUGUUCUUCUCUUUCUCUUUUUCUUUCUCUUUUCUUUCUUUCUCUUUCUCCCUCUCCCUCUUUCUGUCUCUUUUUUCUUUUUCUAUCUCUCUUUUAUCUUUCUUUUUCUUUUUUCCUCUCUGCCUUUUUCUUUCUCUUUCUGUCUUUCUAGCUCUCUUUUUUCUCUUUUUUCUUUCUCUCUUUGUUCUUCUCUUUCUCUUUUUUCCUUCUCUUUUCUUUCUUUCUCUUUCUCCCUCUCCCUCUUUCUAUCUGUCUCUUUUUUCUCUUUUUCUAUCUCUCUUUUAUCUUUCUUUUUCUUUUUUCCUCUCUCCCUCUUUUUCUUUCUCUUUCUGUCUUUCUAGCUCUCUUUUUUCUCUUUCUCUCUCUUGGUCUCUAUCUCUUUUUCUCUCAUUUUGUUUCUCUUUUUUCCUCUCCUUCCUCUUUAUCUUUCUUUUCUCUUUUUCUCUACCUUUUUCUCUGUCAAUUUUUUCUUUAUCUUUUUUCUCUUUCUCUUUCUUUUUCUGUCUUUCUCUUUUUCUCUUUCUCUCUUUUCUCUCUUUCUGUCUUUCUCUUUCUGUCUUUCUAUCUGUCCUUUUCUCUUUCUCUCUCUUUUUCUCUCUCUGUCGCUCUCAAUGUUUACAAGACUCAAAUUCUGCAGAGGACAUUUUUAUAAUCCAUAAAUAGUAUU